AGUUUCCACCCAGAAGGCUUCUCAUGGCUGUCCGUUUAAGGGAUGUAUUAUCUUUUCCCUUUUAGGAGUGUGUUCUCAGCUGCUACACCAGCAACUGCACUCCUACUUGUCCGUUUGAAAACUUUUUCUUCUGACUGCAGAGUGGAUAACAUGCGCCACGGCCAUAUUACUUCUCCGCGGAGCCCGCUCAAAGGAACUUAGCCCGCUUCAUAUUCGCCUUGUAAAGCUCAAGACUCUGAAAAUGUAGCCAUUUCUGCAAAAGUCCAACUGCCAGAAAAUGAGACAAUUCUAGCGACUUCUCACCUUCCGGCCAACCCCGGCUACUGGCGGCAAAUCCAGCCGCUUGCCUCCUGUACGUCAGGUGUCCCAACAUGGCCGCCCCCAUGUGACGGCGAGCUGGGCGCGGACAUAUUGCCUCCGAGGGACAAGAGGGAAAUCCACUAGUCCGCGUUACUUCAAAUACUUAAGACCCACAUCGGCUGCCGUAGACGGAGCCGACAGGGGCGACCGGUCCAGAAGUCCGAACAGUUUACGGAAGUACAACGCUUAGACUCUCCUACUGGGUCUGGGGAAACAGCCUUUAAUUCAGGAGUUGACUGACUACAGAUCGAGGGACUAAAGGAGCAACGCACGUCCGUUAUGUAUCGUCUAUGGCUGCUUUCGCCCUUCAAAGGCAGAACCCACAGGUCCUGACUCCCCAGGAGGAAGAGAAUCAUGUGAAGGAGGAAGAAGUUACAGGAUUUGGUAUCAGUAUUUCUGGGGACUCACUUGACUGAGGACUGAGAUUUCUGAACAGGAAUUCAGAGCAGAUCCGGAAGACAAAGACAGAGCCUCUACACUGCCAGCUAUUUUCAGAGAAGGGGAGAAAAUGAUCGAGGCCCAGGAACCCCUGACAUUUGACGAUGUGGCUGUGGACUUCACCAGGGAGGAGUGGCAGCUCCUGGCCCCUGCUCAGAAGGACCUGUACUGGGACGUGAUGUUGGAGAACUAUAGCAACCUGGUGUCUGUGGGUUAUCAAGCCAGCAGACCACACGCACUCUCCAGGUUGGUGCAAGGAGAACCACCAUGGACAAUGGAAGAUGAAAUCCACUGUCGAACCCAUUCAGAAAUCUGGAAACUUGACGAUCAUGUGCCAGAACACUUACAAAAAGAAAGUAUGGAGGAUAGACUGGAACAAUGGCAUGAACGUGACACACUUGAAAAUUCUCUUCAUAAGAGCAGAACUCAUUUGGUGUUAAGGCAAAAUCAUGACCUAGUUGACGUACAGGGAAAAAGUAUGAAAUCAAAUUUAACUUUACUUAACCAGAGCAGAAGCUAUGAAACAAAGAGCUCUGCGGAGCUUACUGGAGAUGGGAAAUCCUUUCUCCAUGCUAACAAUGAACAGUUUCAUACUGACACUAAAUUCCCUGAGAGCCAAAAACUCGUCAGCACUAAGUGUCAAUUCAUUAAGUAUCAGAAAACUCAAAAAAUAAAGAAACCUCAUGUAUGCAGUGAAUGUGGGAAAGCUUUUAUCAAGAAGUCUUGGCUUACUGAUCACCAGAAUCUUCAUACAGGAGAGAAACCCCAUCAGUGUAGUCUGUGUGGGAAAGCAUUCUCCAGAAGGUUCUUGCUCACUGAACACCUGAGAAUGCAUACAGGAGAAAAACCUUAUGAAUGCACUGAAUGUGGCAAAGCCUUUCUCAAGAAAUCACGGCUCAAUAUACAUCAGAAAACUCACACAGGAGAGAAACCCUUUAUAUGCAGUGAAUGUGGGAAAGGAUUUAUCCAGAAGGGAAAUCUCAUGGUACAUCUCCGGAUUCAUACAGGUGAGAAACCUUAUAAAUGCAAUGAAUGUGGAAAAGGAUUCAGCCAGAAGACAUGCCUCAUAGCACAUCAGAGAUUUCACACAGGAAAGACUCCCUUUGUGUGCAGUGAAUGUGGAAAAUCCUGUUCCCAGAAGACAGGUCUCAUUAAACAUCAAAGAAUUCACACAGGGGAGAAACCCUUUGAAUGCAGUGACUGUGGGAAAGCCUUUAUCGGGAAGUCACAGCUUGUUAUACAUCAGAGAACUCAUACAGGAGAGAAGCCCUAUGGAUGCAGUGAAUGUGGGAAAUCAUUCAGAGGGAAGUCAGUCCUCAAUAAACAUCAGAAAAUUCAUUCAGUCAAGGUGGAGAAUCCUUCCUCUGAGAGUCACAGGGUAUCACAGACCAGUGUUGUCCUGCAGGAGAAAAACUUUGUUAAUAUGGUGACUAUGCAAGUGCCUUCUGUGGUCCCUCAGACAUCAUUAAACAUCAGUGGGCUCCUAGCAGACAGGAAUGUAGUCAUAAUGGGACACCCUGUGGCCAGAUGUGCACCGUCAGGAGGGUUUGCACAGGAGAGAACCCUUAUGAAUGCAGUGAAUGUGCUUGCGCCUUCAGUGAUCAAUUACGUCUUAUUUUAUGUCAUGGAAAACCAGUAGGAAAAAACUCAGAGACAUCUGGUGUAGAAAAAGGUUCUCUGGGAAACUUAGAAGAAUGCAAAUUCCUGAGUCAUACCUCUCACCUCCUAAACCAGAACCUCUGGGACGAGUCUAGGACUGUGCAUUUUUAACAAUGGCCUCAUGCACCCCUAAUUUUGAACCUAUUCACCCUAAAUCCUGGAAUAUGUCCCCAUCACCACUCUCACAUUAUAAUGAUAUGGAUUCAAGACAGAUACUCUCCAGCAAAGAAUCAGCCAUGAGUGCUCCAGUAACCAGACCCUCUGAUGUCCACUUCCGGCCACGGCAAGGUCAGGUUGGCUCACUGGUGGAACUGCUCAGUCCCUGAGCCUUGAGGGCCGAGUGCUGAGCUCCCUUUUCAGAGCCUGACAUCCCCAGGUGAACAAGGCCUCGUGUACACCUAAGCCUGCUACCACACUCAGGUUCCUUAUGGUUCCAAUAAAGAUCACCCUUCGCCUUGAAUAGUGGGUCCUGAUGUCACACUCCCUGAUUUGAAUCCUGCCCUGCUGGCCCAAGCUAUGUGCCUUUGAGCAAGUUACUUAACUCACCUAUGUCUCAGUUUAUCUGUAAAAUCAUAUCUGCCUCACAGGUUUGUCGUGGGAAGUAGAUGUAGUUAAAACAGUGCCUGCGAAACAGGUAGUUAAGAAAAGUAUUAUCAGUCCUGGUAAGGAAGGAGUCCCUCUUUCCUCCCAUCUUCUGGGUCUCUCCAUCCUUCAUCGUCAAUGAAGACUUCUUCAGUGAAGCUUUCCCUCACUAGGCCAAAUUCCCCAAUUUCUGGCCCUCCACAGAACCAUGUUCCUCUCCUUUUAAUCGCUUUAUUGACUUGCAGUUUUAUAUUUCCUGUAUUUAGAUGUGUAUUCCCCAUCUGGAUUUGACUGAAAUCGUUUGAAUUGGUCACAACAACAGGUCAACCUAUUGUUGAAUAGGUCACAUAGGCAUGUGGUUCAAAACUUAAAACUGUAUAAAAAGGUGCAUUUAUGAGUCUUACUCUUAGCCUGUUCUCAGUCCUCAGCCCCAGUUUUCCCUUGACCAUCUGCCUCCUACAGGUAAACUUGUUGAUUGUGAGUCCUUCCAGUAUUUCUUUUGUCAAUACAAGCAAGUAGAUAUUUAUUUUUUCUCCCUUUUCUUUUCAAAAAGCAGCACACUAUAUCCACUCUCUUGUACCUCUGCUGUAUUUAAUUAUCGCCGAGCAGCAGCAUAGCACCUAGCAGGGAACUGAGGAAGAGAAGACUAUCCUGUAAGCCAAAUUCAGUCACGCACCGCAUAACAUUUUGGUCAAGGAUGGACACUAUGUAUGACAGUGGUCCCAUAAGAUUAGUACCAGAGAGCCUAGAAAUACUGUAUAUGUUUGAAGCCUCACCCGUCUUGCUUCACUACCAGAGGCAGCCACAUUCCCAGGCCCCCGUGGGCAUCAUUUUCACAGAGCCCCGUCCUCACUCCAAGAGGCUAAACAGAAUACAGCCCGGGCCGCGUCGGCCUUGGCUGGGCUCCGGCCGCUGAAAACUUACUCAGCUCAGUGCUGUCGAUCAACAGCGAGGAGGGAAAGGCAAGGAGGUGCCCAAAGGCGAUUUCAAUUUCUUCUCAUUGCGGUGAGUCGUAGCCGCCGGGGUCCGAUCGCCGAGAUGGGCGUGGCCGCGUGACGUCACAGAGCUGGCCGGCGGCCAGAACUCAAACUUUGAUGAGGGCGCCGGGGUCCAAGUCGGAUCAGAAGCGUCCCUAGGGACAGCCAGAGACGGGGCUUCGGGGUCACCGCACCCGAAUGCGAAUCGUUUUGGAAAUGAAUUCAGCCGUUGGUAGCUGCCAGUGGAGACUUGAGACGCUCAGCAUCCGAUGGGUCGAGGGGGAGGCCAGUGUAUGUCUGUGGAGAGGCAUGAGGCUGAAGGUUUGGAGAACGUGUGUCCCUGGAGAGUAGGUAGGUUGCGUCUCAGAUCUUGACUGCUGGAAACAGACGAUGAUACUUUCAUCCAGCUGAUCCGAAUUCACUUCACUCCUUCAAGCCCGUGUCUUCCUCAAGGUACUAAUUAAAAACACUUGUCACAUACAGUCUAGUCAUUAUCUUCUUAAAGUAGAUAGCUAUGCUGCUGUAUGACUGCAGGCCCUGGCUUUUUGAUGGCCGUCAGCUGGUAGGCCAACCUCAGGUCCUGGAGGCCUCCUAUAUUCCUCCUCACAUGGCUUCUAAAGUCUAUGGUCUAUGUUAUAAAACAUGUGUUUUGUUUUUCUUGCCUCCAGGUUGACUCCAUGUUUUCUUGGCUAUUUCAAUACUUUUGUGUUUAUUCUGCAGAAGUAAAAACAUCUCCAUUGCCCUAAGCUCUGAUCAGUGAAAACCAUUGCAUGUGUGUGUGUGUUUUAAAUCUUUUUGUGCUACUUUCUUAUUUGGAGUGAUCUGUAUAACAUAGGUAUCAGUUGAUUUUAUCACUUAAUUUCUAAUUAUAAAUAUAUGUCCAUGGUAUAAAAUGAUUACACAUUUCCUUAAUGGCGGCAAUAGUGUCACAUCAGGUGCGUGAACUAGUGACAAGGUGACUAGAGUCACAUUAAAUGUGUACAUUAAUUCGGAUAACUUGACAUAUAUUCAGAUAUAGUUUUUUGCAACACCUUGGGAUUCUCUGCUUAUUCGGGUUUUCCCACCCAAGGCCAGGAUUUGUUGUGUCUUUUCGUGUAUGUCUCAGACAUUUCUGGUUAUACUUAUUCGUAGGUAGUUUAUACUUCUUUGCAAUUAUAAGUAGUGCCUUUUAGAAAAAUUCCCUACUUCUAAACUUUGCACUCUAAUGGAGCAAUUGAAUUGCUCUUGGUAUUACUGAAAGUGAAAGUUUCAGUGGAUUUCUUUACAUUUUCUAGGUGAGCAGUUUUAGUAUCUGCCAAUAAUUUUGGCUCAAGAGUGAGUGGCAUGAACAAAGCUGUCUUUUUAAGUGUUUUCCCCCCUCAGCCAUGUGCUUUGAACAAGUCUUUCCAGGGGAUGUUGUGAAAUUAAGAGAACUAAUAUGUCUCAACAUGUAUAGCAUCUACCAGGAUACAAAUUUCUAUGAACUGCUUUAUCUGCCUCUCACUAGUUUUGCUAUUUAAAAUUUUGUAUAUUAUUCAGUGUAUUAGUUUUCUAUUGCUGUGUGAUAAAUUACCACAAAGUUAGUGGUUUAGAACGGCACACAUUUGUCAUUUCACAGUUUGUAUAGGUCAGAGGUCCAGGCGCAUUUCACCAGGGACUUCUGCUUUCAGUGUCACAAGGCUGUAAUCGUGAUGUCAGCCAGAAUGCGUUCUCAUUUGGAGGCUCAGCUGGGGAAGAAUUUGCUUCCAAAGUCACUCAGGUUGUUGGGAGAGUUCCUUGCUGCUGUAUGACUGCAGGCCCUGGCUUUUUGAUGGCCGUCAGCUGGUAGGCCAACCUCAGGUCCUGGAGGCCUCCUAUAUUCCUCCUCACAUGGCCACCUCUGUGGGCAGUUCAGAACAUAGCUGUUUGCUUCUGCGAGACCAGCAAGACAGAAUCACAUUCCAGUCUCUAAGACACGGUCUUCUAUAAUGUAACAUAAUCAUGGGAGUGAUGUCACAUCACCUUUGGUGUAUUCUGUUGGCUAGAAGGAAGUCACAAAUCCCACCCACACUCAAGGGGAGAGGAUUAUACAGGUGUGACAACUGGAAACCAGAAAUCAUGGGGCCAUCUUAAAAUUCUGCCUACAUGUUAAGUUUAAAGUGUUUUCUAAUUUCCACUUUCUUCGACUCGUAUGAGUUUAAUAAUUUUCAAAUAUAUGAGGAUUUUUCAGUUUUGUUUCUGUUAUUGAUUUUUAGCUUAAUUGCAUGACAUUUGGAGCACAUGCUUUGUAUUAUUUCAGUCCUUUGAAAUGAAUGGAGACUUGUCUUCUGACCAAAUGUAUGACUGACUUUUGUAAAAGUUUCAUAUGUACUAGAAAAGUGUGUGUGUGUAUCUUCUUGAGUGCCGGCUCUGCUCAUGACCCUUAAGUCAUGUUUGCUCUUCACAUUGCUAACAUUCUUCAUCCUUCUUAAUUUUUGGUCUGCUUUUAGUCUUUCAGUGAGGAAGAGAGAUAUAUUAAAGUUUCUUACCUAAAUGUGAGUUUUCAAUUUCUCCUUCUAGUUUUGUUGAUUUUUGUUUUAUAUAUUUUAAAUUCAUGUGGUUAAUUGUUAGAUGGUCCUGGUGAGAACAUUUUAGCAUUAAGAAAUACUCCUCUAUUCUAUUAAUUAUUUUUUCUCUUGAAGUCCUCUCUGUCCGUUAAUGUUUUCAUAUUAUAUCUUUUACAAUCCUUUCAAUCUUUCUUUAUUCUUAUGUAUUAGAUGUAGAAAUGUUGAGAGGUUAAAAAUGGUUUUAUCUUCCCACAGAGAUUUUUUUCCUCUGCUUCUCCCAGGUGCUAAUGGUUCCUAGCAAUCCAAAUUCAUAUUUCUUUAAGGGGUUGAGAAUUUUCUGGCUCACUCACUAAUUUGAGAUUGCACUACAGUCCACCUUUAUUUUUAGGGCACUGUCUUCAGGAUCUCAAGUCAAAGAGCCAGAGUUUCCAGGGCCCCUGAGCUUGGUAGAUCCUGGACUCUUAGCUUGUGUUCCUCUAACCCUGUUUUGGUGUCACAAGCACAGCCCAGUAUCUAAACCACCUCCUCUGUUAUUGACAGGGACCCUGUGGGGAAAGUGACCCCAAGUGGAAGAGUCACUUCUCUGCAUUUGAGUUUUUCCCAGAUCUCAGCCCCGUACUUUCAAAGGUGAAUACUUGGUUCAUUUAUUUUUAAUAUCACUUCUAAUAAAUAUUUAAGAGCUAAAUUUCCUUCCAAUACUCCAGUUUAACAUAGGUUUACAUAUAUUGUGCUUUCCUUGCCAUUUAAUACUAAAUAAUUCAGAGUUUUCAUUUAUAUUGCCUUUUUAAUUUGAAGGUUUUUAAUGUGAUUUUUUUUCUAGGUAUGCAGGUUUUUGUUUCUGUUCCAAUUAAUUUGUUGAGUUUCUCAUUCCUGUUGAUUUCUAGUUCUGGUGCAUUGUGGUCAAGGAGUAAGCUUCUUUGAUAUUAAUUUUUGAAAUUUGUGAAAAUGUCUUUCUAUGGCCUACUUUGCUCUAUAAAGAUUUACAUUUUUAUGUUUGCAUGUGUGUAUAUUCUGGAAAGGCAGAUGCCCUUUCUAGGGCAACAGGAGUUUUUCCAUUAAAGUGAAUGUGCAUAAUGCCAAGAAAUCAUCAGGAAAUUCUGCCCAUUGCUUGUAGGAGGGACAUGAGGGCUCAUGGAUAGGGAGCACUGAAAUUUGGAUAUGGCCAAGAUGUUGCAUCCCUGUCAUCCUUCCCAUGAAUAAUCCUUAAAUAAUUGUAUAGUUACAGUUUUAUAGUCUUUAAUAAUCCUAUCAAUAGUUUUACACCUUUUUUCUUGGUUUGGCGCUAUAAGGAGGCAGAUCUGAUAGCCCUGGUGCUUAGAGGAAAGUGAUUCUAGGUUGGAGAUCAAGGGGGAAUACAUGUACCCAGAAAUCAAAGAACAGUUGCUGCAGAGUUCUAUGGGUUUGAGGAUUUAGAAAAGAUAUGGCCAGAAGGAGUGGAAGCAAAAACUCAAGGUAAUUCGGCAGAGUUAAUGACCUUAUCAUGUGAGCCUUUCUGACUCCUUGUUUUUCUUUGAUUUUCUGCUUUGGAGUGAGUGUUGGGGCAUGCUCCUUUUCCAUUUCUCUGUUUGUGGAAGAAGGUUGCUCCGUGUGUGCACGCGCACACACACACACGUGCAUUGAGUUCUAGGGGCUGUUUCCAGAACUCCCGUUAUUCACUAUGGCUGUAUACUACCUUCUGGUGUGAUAUUGUGGAUAGUAAACUUUUCAGGCAGUUCUACAGAGGACUGAACGUUGAUUGUGAUGUUAUCUGGUUAAGAAAGUACAAUAGUGGUUAAAGUGGUGAGCUUUGGAGAGAAAAAGGCCUUGGUUUGAAUUUCAGCUCUGCCUCUUAGAAAGUGUGUGGCUCUGGACAGGAUACUUUAUCUCCAGGUGUUAAGUCUUGACUUUCCAUUGUUUAAAAAUGGGUCUAGUGAUUUGGUAGUUCUAGGUUGGUGGUGAGGGUUAAAUAAGAAAAUGCUUACGAAAAGUGAUUUAUUUAGCAUGUUAAUCUUCGUACUGUUUGCACUGCCUUGAGAUCUAAACAUUGCGGUUUUCUAAAGGAAACUUUUAAGUAUUGGGGUUUUAUGUUAGAGGACACCUAUAUUGGUUUUCUAUUGGUUCUGUAAUAAAUUAACAUAAACUUAAUGGCCUAAAACAUCACCAGCUUAUUAUAUUACAGUUCCACAGAGUAGAAGUUCAACAUGGGUCUCACUGGGCUAAAAUCAAGGUAUCUGCGGGAGUGUCCUCUUUUCUGGGUGUUCCAGAGGAAAGUCUGUUUCUUUGCCUUUUCGGGCUUCUAGAGGCCAUCCGCACUUCUAAGCUGCAGGCUCCCUUUCCCCCCGUCUUCAAAGCCAGCAAUGGUGUGUGGCGUUCUUGUCACAUCCCAACUCUCUGGUAUCUUCUGCCUCCGUUUUCUGGUUGUAAGGACCCUGCGAUUACCUUGGGUCCACCUGAAUAAUCCAGGAAAUCUCCCUGUUUUUAGGUCAGCUGAUGAACAGCUGUCAUUUCAUCAGCAAUCUUAAUUCCCCUUUCUGUGUGAUGUAACAUACUCACAGGCUCCUGGGAUUAGAAUGUGGGUAUCUUUGAUUCUGCCUACCACAGCCCCUAUAGCAACACUGACAAAAUGUGUGGCCCAAAGGAAUGUACCACUUAAAGUGAAUUUGCUUUUGAGUCCUUAGAGUCAAAUGAAGUAAGGAGAAGAUAGUUCCAGGACCAGGAGAGCAUCAUUUUUGGGGAUACUGUUAACUUGAAUUGUAAGAUCUAUGACCAGAAUUUCAGCGACAAUCUAGAAGGGUAAAAUCACAGAGAUCCCAGUUACUGGCCGUUUUCUCAGAAUGGAAUAAAAUGACCAAGGUCCAGGAGUAAUUAGGUUACAAAUCACUGCUCCCCAGUCAUUCAUUUGAAACUUUGUGCUUGCUUGAAGAGGACAAAUGACUGAUGCAAGUUCCUCAGGAGCCUGGAGGAGGAACCCCCAUGGAACUUUGUUUCCAGUCUCUGAGGAGAGCACAUGGCUGGCUGAUGGUAGAAUCCUUGAGGGUGUGUGAUGAAGAUGAUUCUGAGACUGUGGGCAGAAACUGAAAACUGCAGCCAAAUGUUUCCUUUGCAGCAAGAAGAGAAAGACAGGAAAAAGCAAGUCCCUUCUCCAUAUUCCUUCUGCCUGCCCAUUCUCUCUAGUGCUCCAUAUUGGGAAAACCUAACAUGAAGGCAGCCAGCAAAAGAUAAUGUGGUUUGCAAUACCAGCCCCAGAAUUACAAAGCAGACAAUGGAAGAGUAGGUUGAGACAUGGGAGACAAUAGCUGUAAUAACUAGCACAGCAACCUUCUUUAAUUGUGAGUAGCUAUGAUGCGUGCCUCCCCCAAUUUACAAAUAUUACAGUCUACUUAUAGAUGAGUGCAGAAUGAAAAUAUAUUUGUGAAUAGGAUGAUGCUUAUUCAAACAAUCCUUGAAUAUUUGUUGUGUAUAAGAAAAUAUGUUAGUAAAGUUAUUAGUCAUGA
Equus caballus (horse) is the source of this 9993-nucleotide non-coding RNA. The record is from RefSeq and is a predicted model, not a curated record. NCBI's taxonomy places the organism in Eukaryota, Metazoa, Chordata, Mammalia, Perissodactyla, Equidae.